GCCGGGGUAGCUCAGCUGGGAGAGCAACAGACUGAAGUGCGAUGUUUUCUGGAGGUCCCGUGUUCAAUCCACGGUCCUGGCA
Molecule: non-coding RNA, 82 nt
Organism: Suillus brevipes Sb2
Lineage: Eukaryota; Fungi; Basidiomycota; Agaricomycetes; Boletales; Suillaceae
Source: the annotation of a GenBank genome assembly